Long non-coding RNA from Amblyraja radiata (thorny skate), 1895 nucleotides. RefSeq lists it as uncharacterized. Lineage: Eukaryota; Metazoa; Chordata; Chondrichthyes; Rajiformes; Rajidae. The record is from RefSeq and is a predicted model, not a curated record. The transcript has 2 exons.
AUAAGAUGCCCUCCUUCUAAAUUCCAGAGUAUACAAGCCUAGCCGCUCCAUUCUCUCAGCAUUUGACAGUCCUGCCAUCCCAGGGAUUAACUUUGUAAACCUAUGCUGCACUCCCUAUUCUAUUUUAAGACAUCAAGAUGUACUCUUUCUUUCGUAAACAAGGUUUCCCCUCUGCUGUUGUAGAUGUAUCCGUCACCCAUGUCUCCUGUAUGUCCCGCAGUUUUGCCUUUGCACCCCCUUCCUCCAGACGGAACAAGGAUAGAGUUGCCCUGGUCCUAACCUCUCAUCAGCCUCCUCACACAACACAUCGUUCCCCGACAUUUCUGCCACCUUUAACAUGAUUUCCCCCCCCACCCCACCCCCCAGUCAUUUCUUAUUAUCCUCACUCUUUGCUUAGAGACCUCCCCUUCUGCAACUCCUUGGUUCACUCAUAAUCCUAGCUCCCAAACUGCCCCCUUCCCAGGUACAGUCCACUGCAAACACAGGAGAUAUAACAACUGUUCCAAUACCUCAACCCACAGAUCCAUCCAGGGACCUCAACAGCCUUUCAAGGUGAAACAGAGGUUCCAUGCACCUCCCAUUUACUGCAUUCAAUACUCCCGAUGUGGCCUUUUUUACAUCAGUUAGACCAAUUAUAGUCUAGGCGACCAUUUUGCCAAACACAUGCUCGAUACGCCAAGGCCUGCUGGACAUCCUGCUUACUUACUAUUUUAACUAUCUUUCCCAUACCGCCCUUUCUAUCCUGGGCCUCCAUUGUCAGAGCAAAGGCACAGACAAGCUAGAGGAACAGCAGCUCAUGUUCCACUUGGGUAAUAUACAACUAAACAGUGUGAACAUUGACUUGUCCAAUUUUCCCCCCCUCUCUAUCCUGUGCCGCUCCUGCUGCGCACACAUUUCUCCUAUUAUUCUGGCCCCUCCAUCCCCUUCCACCUAAAUCCCUACCUCUGGCUUUUCAUUUCACACCUCUCCUUUUGUCUGCUAUUCAUCUCUUGCUGUUGUCCAGCUAUCUGCCAGUUAAAUCCCCCAUGCCACCAUCCACCUAUCAUUUGUCAGGCUUUGCUCCACUCCUACCUUUUCCAUCUGUCCCUUCUACAAUUAAUCUGAAGAAGGAUCGCAACUGGAAACAUCAUCUAUCCAGGUCCUCCAAAGAUGCGCCCGAUCUGCCGAGUUACUUUUGGAAUUGCAAACGAGCAAUCUGUUUGGACACUACUUCAUUAUCAUCCUUCAUAUAUCAAUGUGGAGUAUUAAAUGUAGUUAGGCUAUUGUCUCUCCACAUUUCACCCCAAGCAUGUCCUCACCAUGUAUUUCCUGGAAUGUUAUUUCAUGUAACACAUACCCCAAAGCAGAUCAACAAAACUAAUCAGAAAUUACAAAAGCCCUGAAUGUAAGUGUGAUCAGAAAACUAAGCAGAAACCAGGCACUGAACCCAGUCUAUAUGUACGCCAACAUCUCAACAGUUAAGCAUUUAUGAUAAUGCCACUGGUACAGGAGGAUGUUACCUUGCCAAUACAUUCAUUUGCUUUAUCCUGUUGUUUCAGUUUUCUUCUUCCUGUAAUUUUUUUUUAAGUCAGUACAGCUAUUUAAAAACAUAAAUGUAAACAUUGUAAUAUGAAACGCUAUUUUGGAAUUUGGAAGCAGAACAUAGAUAAGGUCAAUGUAAAAGCAUUUAAAUACGAUGUCGCUGAUGACCCAGGACUGCAGAUUAUAUGAAUGAUAACAACGGUGUCUCAAUAUAAAUUGUUUACGAGUAUAAAUGGUCACAAUUUCGCACUGUCAGUGACAAUACCAUUUAUGCACUUCUGAGUAUAUAAAGAAAAUUACCCAAGGAAUAAUUACAGCAGUUGCAGCAAUAUAAUAUUUAACUUAUCUUGUAAAUAAAGUAUUUCUCAUUCAAA